GAUGAAGAACGCAGCGAAAUGCGAUAAGUAAUGUGAAUUGCAGAAUUCAGUGAAUCAUCGAAUCUUUGAACGCACCUUGCGCCCUUUGGCCAUUCCGAAGGGCAUGCCUGUUUGAGUAUCAUGAACACCUCAACUCUUUAUGGUUUUCCAUGAUGAGCUUGGACUCUGGGGGUUUUGCUGGCUCACAGUCGGCUCCUCUAAAAUAAAUCAGCUUACCAGUGUUUGGUGGGUAUCAUGGGUGUGAUAACUAUCUACGCUUGUGGUUUUUCCACCAGGUAACCUUCAGCAGUGGAGGUUCGCUGGAGCUCAUAGACGUCUCUCCUCAGUGAGGACAGCCCUUUGUACGUUUGAUCUCAAAUCAGGUAGGACUACCCGCUGAACUUAAGCAUAUCAAUAAGCGGAGGA
Molecule: unclassified non-coding RNA, 405 nt
Filed under: soil metagenome
Description: partial contains 5.8S ribosomal RNA, internal transcribed spacer 2, and large subunit ribosomal RNA
Rfam family: 5.8S ribosomal RNA (bases 1-121)
Source: RNAcentral